UAUUUUUUCUUUUUUCUUUUUUUUUUUGGUUUCCUCAUAUCCUGGUCUUUCCUGUUAUUAAUGUGAUUAUACAUUCUCAACGAAUGGAGAUAGGAGUAAGACAAUAGGCUUAACAGAAGUGCAAUAGUUUGAAUGGCCAUCUGAGUCACUGUCUGGAAAGAGCAUGGCCACGUUAAUGCCAAAAAAUUUGUAAUGCAUGGCUCUGCUAGAGAACCUACUAUUAUCCUUAAAAACACAAAUGUAAACAUAGCAACACAGAUGCAAACUAAGAGAUUCAGUUAAGAUGGCACCUUUCAAUCAAUUAGGAUAGAAUGUUUUAGUGUAUACUACUGAAACAAGAAAGAUGUUGUUGACAUAAUCGUUAUUGCAUUUAAUGUUCCAUUAUUUGCAUGCAAGCUUAUGAAGGAUGGAAGCCCAUGUUUUUCCAGCAACUCAUAUUCAAGGCAUCCAUGCAUCCACCCACACUGUAUUUUCCAACUAUUUCAUCUCCUUUACUUAAAUCAUAGCCAAAAAAAAGUUUUCCGAACUGUGAUAACUUCCAGCAGAUAUGGUCAUCUACUGUCUAUCACCAAUUCAGUAUGUUUAAUUUUCAUGUCACACCUUUUCUGUUACAUGAGAUAGGUGCAUUUAGGCUCUUAAUCUGGAAUACUAGAUCAUGUCUCAUAAUUAUGGCAUUGCGGUUGACAUGUUUUACGCAUAUAUUUGUGGGACAAUGACAUGAGAGUUGGACCUUUCUUGACUGCAAAAACAUUUGAGCAUUGGCUGUUGUCUAAGAGCUCCUGAUAGUAACAGUAUCGCAGAUCCAAAUGGAGAUAUAAUGACUUCAAGAGUGUCUGACUUUUAUUUAUUUUCUUUUCUGUAAAUGAGUUUAGAAUGAGCUUUAGUGUGUUUGGGACUAUAUGCUUCCUUGUCUAACUUAAAUUUGUCGGGUUUUGGCAAUCAAUAAUGAUACAAAUUGUAAUCACCUUCUUAAGAACAUUUCCAUAUACUUUGUUUGUCUGGGCUUAUCAAUUUAUUACUGUAAUCUAAUCUGUAUGUCAACUUCUAGUUCUCUACCAUGCUUUCCUUGUGAUUUAAUACCAUUAAAUCUCGUACUUCUGUAUUGCUGGAAUAAAUAUGUUUGGUGGAAUUCAUUUCCACUAAGUUGGGAUUUAGGUAAGUUGAGGACUGAUUUUUUUAAUUUGAAUGUGGAGAUUAUGAAUAAAGUUUCUUUUUACGGAGAAAUAUCCUUUUCUUUUGAUGCUGAGUUCUUUUAGUGUUCCUAGGUGUAGAAUAAGUCUUGAAUUGAUAUCAAAUUAAUUUUACGAUUCUUAUUGGACUUGAGUGUUGAAGGUCAUGAUCACGUUAUGUGUCUGGCAAUAAUUACACGUACAUCCCGGCUCCUGAGUUGGCUUAUUGUAUCAUGGAUUUGAUUAGAACCUAAUAUACAGGAUUCAUAAUAGUUUCGUAGCAUUUAUGCCACAUAAGUAUUUUCCAAUGAGAAAGAAUUAGUGCUACUUGUCAUGUAAAGGAAGACAACAGUGCCAUCUGAUAAGGAAAUCAGUAAAGAAUGUAUGUUUAAGUAUCUAUUAAGACUGAAACCCUGCCUUUAGGCGGUUUUCUGAUUUGGUAGGAGAAAUCAUUUAAGUUUCUCAACCUCUCUGAAUUUGAUGAAGUUGCGCAAAUUUGAAUUAAGUAGUUCAUUACUUGGGGAAUUAUCAAGAUUGACAGGUUAGAUCAUAGUUAGGACGAGUUCCUUUCAGUAAAUGAAAUCAAUUUAUUACUGGAUUCAUACAAUGCACCCACCUGUGUAAGGGGUUUUUUUACACAAGGAACUCACUACAUAAGCAUACUGAGAUUUGACAAGAUAGUAUGGUACACUUGCUUAAAUCUAGACCAGCUCAUAUAAAGAAAUAUUUAGAUUGAUGAGCUUUUUAGUUAUCCUCCAAGUUUCCACACCGUCUUACACCUAGGAGAUGAUCACUUUUAGUCUGAGUAAUUCUAACCCAUAUAUGUGUUAUCAUUUAAAAAAAAAUUGUCUACUUGCACUACUAACAUUCAAAAUCAUAUGUAUUAGUGCUUAUGGAUGAUCAAAGGGAGAAUGAAGCUGUAGAAGAGCUUACCAGAGCCAUAGCCUUCAAACCGGACCUACAGAUGCUCAAUCUACGAGCAGCUUUCCACGAGUCAAUGGGUGACUUCAGUUCUGCUCUCCGAGAUUGUCAGGCAGCCCUCUGUUUGGAUCAAAAUCACAAGGACACCCUUGAUCUGUAUAAUCGAACACAAACACAAGCUAUUGAUCCACGUACUUAGCAUGUUCAAGUCAAAGUGAUUCUUUGUGGAA
RNAcentral lists this long non-coding RNA (2320 nucleotides) under Coffea arabica (coffee). RNAcentral's name for it is "long non-coding RNA (CARA_LNC000353)". Lineage: Eukaryota; Viridiplantae; Streptophyta; Magnoliopsida; Gentianales; Rubiaceae. The record is from RNAcentral.